CCUUCCUGCCGCUCCCUCGCUCCCCUUCACCGGGGGAGACAUGUAACGGAACCGGGGCGCCAGCGCGGCAUUGUGGGAGCUCUUAAAGCCGCAGCCGCCCCCGCCGCCCCGGCAGCCUCGGGAGGCGGCGGCGCUGCAGCCUCGGCAGAGUGGAGUCCCUGCGAGCCGUGUCCGGCACCCGGAGCCGCCGCCCCGGCAGCCUGAGGCACUGCAGCCUCGGCCGAGGGCAGCCCCGUGCCCGGAGCCGCCGCCCCGGCAGCCUGAGGCGCUGCAGCCUCGGCCGAGGGGAGCCCCGGAGCCGGGGCCGCCCGCCCUCCUCCACAGCCCACGAGCCCCGGCCGCGCCGGAGACCUCAGGUUGCUCUGCUGUUUUCUACGAGAUUUUAACCGGCAGACAGCGUGCUGUGUUGUGGCUGAUUCGGAUUUUGAUGAUGGAAAAUUCCCCGGAAAAAAAAACCGAAAAAGCAACAAAACCCAACCUCAUAAACCUCAGAGCAGCAAAGACUGCAGGCGGCUGUUUGGGGCAAAAAGUUUUUGAGUAUGAAGUUUUAAUCGGUUUUGGGAUAAUGACCAUUAAAAAAAUCCGAAACCUAUUUGGAAAUGAACUUGAGCGCAGAACUGUGAUGCACAGGCAUUUUUCGCUGUGUGCAAACACUGGCGCAGGGUCUGCUCUUGGUUCUCCGCAGUAGAGCAGCAGCAGUCAGUCCCAGCUCUUCCCAGGGCUUGUGGCCUUCCCAAAACUGCCUGUGCCAUGUCCACGACACACCAGUCAUUUAAAGAAGAAUCUCAUCAAAAGAACAGUUUUUUCCUGUUUGUGCUAUCACUGUUCCUCUUGCGGGUUUUGAGCAUCCCGAAGCGUUUUUAUGGAGGUGUGUUUUUUUUAAUUCCUGGUCCUUCAGCAGAGAGCAGGGUUUUGCUUCCACACAACUCUCUGCUGGUGCUACAUGGAGGACAUUUUCAAGACUACACGCAUAACUUCAGUUUAGAUAUGAGCAAAUAAAUAUUUGAGAUUUGGGUUUGGGGAUGUUUGUACAAAUAUUCCUAAUAGGUCUGGAUCUUGGGUUAUGAUCGCAUCUUUUCUCAUGGGUUCAUUUUCCUAAGCAGAUUUUUUGUAAGCACACCUCCGAAGUUCCUGCUGAAAGAGUCUUCAGAAGGCUGUCACUUUUAUUUCUUUGUCUAGGCCUUUUUAUCCUCUUUUACAGGAAGAGGUGCUAAGCAGCGUAUGAGAAGAGCCCUGAGCACAACAUGAAGUGAAGAUGUGUUUGUAAAAAUUAGAUUAUUCUGUUGGGGACCAUGUGCUUUCUGUGGUCAGUUGCACACAAACACUCACCUUCCGUUUCAGAAACUUUAAAGAAAACAACGCUUGAGGGAUAAAAGGAAAAAGGAAUGGUGCUGAUGACCAGUUCUGCACUCCACUGGCAGCUACCUCUGCCCUUGCCACUGUCAUUUCACCUUAAGAAACGCAGUGUCUCGGUGGGCUCUUCAAAUUUAAUCCAGACUAUAAAAUCUGGCUCGCUGAGGAAGAGAAACAGCCCUGUGUGGCCAGUGACAAAUGACAAACGCUGCUUUCACUGUCAUGGAUUUGCAAGAAACUCUUCAUGGUUGGAACAGAACAAACCUUGUCUCUGCAAAUGCUUUCUUGACGAAAAGUAGGGCUGGAUCCAGCAAAUGAUUUAACUGUGUACAUAUAUCCGGGCAUGUGAAUAGCUUCAGUGGGACUGCUUACAUGAUCAAAGCACUUUGCUGAAUUUGGUCCAUAGCAAAUAAAUCUGAACUGAUACCCAACAAGCAGAAAAACAAGCUAAUUUGGAGUGGGGUUAAUUUAUGUCCAGUGGUGUAUUUGAUUAACUGUAAAAGGAACAUUUCAAGAGGCUGUUUUCUUUUAAAAUAGAGCUGCUGUCUGAUAUUCAGGGGAAGCAAACAAACAUCAGAUUAAAAUUUAAAUGCAUUCUUCAAACUCUUUCUUCUUAGUUUUGUUUUUCUUUUCAGUUAAUAUUUAUUUCUUGGAGCCUGAGGAGAAAUAAUUCCUGGUUGUUUCUCCUCUGUGUUUUCUAUAUCUUGCCUUGCUGUGCAUUGAGUGUGAGUGAUGUGCUGUGUUCAAUAUAGAGAAAAAUGCGAUCUCAGUCUUCAAAUGGUUGAAAUUCAAAAGACAGAUAUUCUAAGAUGGGAAAUAGGUUCUAUUUCUGUUUCACACAGCAAAUUCUGAAUACUCACAGAGACUGCAGAUUUUAAGACUCUGCUCUGUGGAAGAGAUCCAAAUGAGCUCAAAAAAGAAUUCCAAACCAAAUUCUUCCCUUUUCUAUCUGACCUGGCUAUGAAUGUUAACUCACACUAACUAGGGAAUUAGCCUUGAAUAAACAACCAGAGCAAAUUUAUUUUUGUUGUCAGUACCAGCAGUAGCUCUCCUAGUUUCUGGGUCCAGCCUAAGCACAGUACGAAUAUAUUCAGGGAUAGUUACAGUUCUGGCAGGCAAGAGACUCAAUAUUCAUGAGUGUGGCUCUUCUGUUUACUGCACAGGAAUGGGAAUCAGGUGAGCCUGGUUCUGUCUGUUCAUUAAUAAAUGGCUUUUUUCCUCUGAUUUUUCUUGAUUAGUAAAAAGUCAUCUUCCUUCAGAGAUGCACCAGUUCACUCAAAUUAGAGGAACAUGUUGAAGUCUGAAGUGGGAGAAUGUUACUGA
Long non-coding RNA from Parus major (Great Tit), 2676 nucleotides. RefSeq lists it as uncharacterized. Lineage: Eukaryota; Metazoa; Chordata; Aves; Passeriformes; Paridae. The record is from RefSeq and is a predicted model, not a curated record. The transcript is spliced from 2 exons.